CCCUUAGAUGUUCUGGGCCGCACGCGCGCUACACUGACGAAGUCAGCGAGCAUGUCCUACGCCGACAGGUGCGGGGAAUCUUGUCAAACUUCGUCGUGAUGGGGAUUGAUUAUUGAAAUUCUUGAUCAUCAACGAGGAAUUCCUAGUAAGCGCAAGUCAGCAGCUUGCGUUGAUUACGUCCCUGCCCUUUGUACACACCGCCCGUCGCUACUACCGAUUGGAUGGUCCGGUGAAGCCUCGGGAUUGUGGUUCUUGCCGCUUUAUUGUGGCGUGACCGCGAGAACUUGUCUAAACCUUAUCAUCUAGAGGAAGGUGAAGUCGUAACA
RNAcentral lists this ribosomal RNA (326 nucleotides) under uncultured eukaryote. RNAcentral describes it as "partial 18S ribosomal RNA". It matches the Rfam family "Eukaryotic small subunit ribosomal RNA", at positions 1470 to 1796 of the family's 1831-position model. The record is from RNAcentral.